ACACGUAGAGAGCAAGCGUUGUCCGGAAUUACUGGGCGUAAAGGGUAUGCAGGCGGAUAUUUAAGUCAACUGUGAAAUCCACCGGCUUAACCGGUGAUGUGCAUUUGAAACUGGAUAUCUUGAGUACAGGAGAGGAGAGCGGAAUUCCUGGUGUAGCGGUGGAAUGCGUAGAUAUCAGGAAGAACACCAGUGGCGAAGGCGGCUCUCUGGCCUGAGACUGACGCUGAUAUACGAAAGCUGGGGUAGCGAACGGGAUUAGAUACCCCGGUAGUCCCAGCUGUAAAUGCUGGACACUAGGUGUUGGAGGUUCGAAUCCUUCAGUGCCGGAGUUAACGCAUUAAGUGUCCCGCCUGGGGAUUACGGUCGCAAGACUGAA
Molecule: ribosomal RNA, 376 nt
Filed under: uncultured bacterium
Lineage: Bacteria
Description: bacterial SSU rRNA
Rfam family: Bacterial small subunit ribosomal RNA
Source: RNAcentral